Molecule: transfer RNA, 73 nt
Filed under: Diaphorina citri (Asian citrus psyllid)
Lineage: Eukaryota; Metazoa; Arthropoda; Insecta; Hemiptera; Psyllidae
Description: tRNA-Thr
Rfam family: tRNA
About the family: Transfer RNA (tRNA) molecules are approximately 80 nucleotides in length. Their secondary structure includes four short double-helical elements and three loops (D, anti-codon, and T loops). Further hydrogen bonds mediate the characteristic L-shaped molecular structure. tRNAs have two regions of fundamental functional importance: the anti-codon, which is responsible for specific mRNA codon recognition, and the 3' end, to which the tRNAs corresponding amino acid is attached (by aminoacyl-tRNA synthetases). tRNAs cope with the degeneracy of the genetic code in two manners: having more than one tRNA (with a specific anti-codon) for a particular amino acid; and 'wobble' base-pairing, i.e. permitting non-standard base-pairing at the 3rd anti-codon position.
Source: Rfam by way of RNAcentral
GCCUAGUUAGCUUAGUUGGUAGUGCGUCCGCCUUGUAAGCGCUAGGCCGCGGGUUCGAUUCCCGCCCGAGGCG